UGGUGCGGGGAGGCAGCAGUUGGGAAUUCUUCCACAAAUGACCGCAAGUUUGAUGGAGCCACCGCCGCCUGAAUGAAGAAGGCCUUUCGGGUCGUAAAAUUCUGUUGUUGGAGAAGAAUGGUCGGCAGAGUAACUGUUGUCGGCGUGACGGUAUCCAACCAGAAAGCCACGGCUAACUACGUGCCAGCAGCCGCGGUAAUACGUAGGUGGCAAGCGUUAUCCGGAUUUAUUGGGCGUAAAGCGAGCGCAGGCGGUUUUUUAAGUCUGAUGUGAAAGCCCUCGGCUUAACCGAGGAAGCGCAUCGGAAACUGGGAAACUUGAGUGCAGAAGAGGACAGUGGAACUCCAUGUGUAGCGGUGAAAUGCGUAGAUAUAUGGAAGAACACCAGUGGCGAAGGCGGCUGUCUGGUCUGUAACUGACGCUGAGGCUCGAAAGCAUGGGUAGCGAACAGGAUUAGAUACCCUGGUAGUCCAUGCCGUAAACGAUGAAUGCUAGGUGUUGGAGGGUUUCCGCCCUUCAGUGCCGCAGCUAACGCAUUAAGCAUUCCGCCUGGGGAGUACGACCGCAAGGUUGAAACUCAAAGGAAUUGACGGGGGCCCGCACAAGCGGUGGAGCAUGUGGUUUAAUUCGAAGCAACGCGAAGAACCUUACCAGGUCUUGACAUCUUUUGAUCACCUGAGAGAUCAGGUUUCCCCUUCGGGGGCAAAAUGACAGGUGGUGCAUGGUUGUCGUCAGCUCGUGUCGUGAGAUGUUGGGUUAAGUCCCGCAACGAGCGCAACCCUUAUGACUAGUUGCCAGCAUUUAGUUGGGCACUCUAGUAAGACUGCCGGUGACAAACCGGAGGAAGGUGGGGAUGACGUCAAAUCAUCAUGCCCCUUAUGACCUGGGCUACACACGUGCUACAAUGGAUGGUACAACGAGUUGCGAGACCGCGAGGUCAAGCUAAUCUCUUAAAGCCAUUCUCAGUUCGGACUGUAGGCUGCAACUCGCCUACACGAAGUCGGAAUCGCUAGUAAUCGCGGAUCAGCACGCCGCGGUGAAUACGUUCCCGGGCCUUGUACACACCGCCCGUCACACCAUGAGAGUUUGUAACACCCGAAGCCGGUGGCGUAACCCUUUAGGGAGCGAGCCGUCUAAGUGACAACAUUGU
Molecule: ribosomal RNA, 1150 nt
Filed under: Lacticaseibacillus paracasei
Lineage: Bacteria; Bacillati; Bacillota; Bacilli; Lactobacillales; Lactobacillaceae
Description: bacterial SSU rRNA
Rfam family: Bacterial small subunit ribosomal RNA
Source: RNAcentral